UACGAGCGGCCCAAACGUUAUUCGGAAUUACUGGGCUUAAAGAGUUCGUAGGCGGCGCAGAAAGUAGGGUGUGAAAGCCCUCGGCUCAACCGAGGAAUUGCGCUCUAAACUACUGUGCUUGAGGAAGCUAGAGGUGAGCGGAACUGAUGGUGGAGCGGUGAAAUGCGUUGAUAUCAUCAGGAACACCGGAGGCGAAGGCGGCUCACUGGGGCUUUUCUGACGCUGAGGAACGAAAGCCAGGGGAGCGAACGGG
RNAcentral lists this ribosomal RNA (253 nucleotides) under uncultured bacterium. RNAcentral's name for it is "partial 16S ribosomal RNA". It matches the Rfam family "Bacterial small subunit ribosomal RNA", at positions 524 to 776 of the family's 1533-position model. The record is from RNAcentral.